CCCAAGGUUUUUUUUAAAACCAUCUGUAGAAUUUGUGAGAAUGCUG
This is a non-coding RNA of Aedes aegypti (yellow fever mosquito), 46 nucleotides long. The record is from Rfam. NCBI's taxonomy places the organism in Eukaryota, Metazoa, Arthropoda, Insecta, Diptera, Culicidae.